UGAGUACGAGCUGCUACGGCAGCGAAGUGGGUGAUGUCAUGCUUCCAAGAAAAGCCCUAUACCCGUUAAGGCAUGAUGGCCUGUACCCGAAACCGACACAGGUGGGGUGGUAGAGAAUACCGAGGGGCGCGAGGUAACUCUCUCUAAGGAACUCGGCAAAAUGGCCCCGUAACUUCGGGAGAAGGGGUGCCACCGCAAGGUGGUCGCAGUGAAGAGGCCCAGGCGACUGUUUACCAAAAACACAGGUCUCCGCUAAGUCGCAAGACGAUGUAUGGGGGCUGACGCCUGCCCAGUGCCGGAAGGUUAAGGAAGCUGGUCAGCGUAAGCGAAGCUAGCGACUGAAGCCCCGGUGAACGGCGGCCGUAACAAUAACGGUCCUAAGGUAGCGAAAUUCCUUGUCGGGUAAGUUCCGACCCGCACGAAAGGCGUAACGAUCUGGGCGCUGUCUCGGAGAGAGGCUCGGCGAAAUAGAAUUGUCUGUGAAGAUGCGGACUACGUGCACCCGGACAGAAAGACCCUAUGAAGCUUUACUGUAGCUUGGUAUUGUGCUCGGGCUCGGAAUGCGCAGGAUAGGUGGGAGGCUAUGAACCAUUGCUUGUGGGUGAUGGUGAGCCACUGGUGAGAUACCACUCUUUCCGAGCUAUAGUUCUAACAGCCACCCGUUAUCCGGGGGCUGGACAGUAUCAGGUGGGCAGUUUGACUGGGGCGGUCGCCUCCUAAAAGGUAACGGAGGCGCGCAAAGGUUUGCUCAGGCUGGUUGGAAAUCAGCCGACGAGUGUAAAAGCAGAAGCAAGCUUGACUGUGAGACCUACAAGUCGAACAGGGAGGAAACUCGGCUUUAGUGAUCCGACGGUUCUGCGUGGAAGGGCCGUCGCUCAACGGAUAAAAGUUACUCUAGGAUAACAGGCUGAUCUCCCCCAAGAGUUCACAUCGACGGGGAGGUUUGGCACCUCGAUGUCGGCUCAUCGCAACCUGGGGCUGAAGUCGGUCCCAAGGGUUGGGCUGUUCGCCCAUUAAAGCGGUACGCGAGCUGGGUUCAGAACGUCGUGAGACAGUUCGGUCCAUAUCCGGUGCAUGCGCAGGAAUAUUGAGAGGAUUUCUCCCUAGUACGAGAGGACCGGGAGGAACGCACCUCUGGUGUACCAGUUAUCGUGCCAACGGUAAACGCUGGGUAGCCAUGUGCGGAGAGGAUAACCGCUGAAAGCAUCUAAGUGGGAAGCCCACCUCAAGAUGAGUAUUCCCAUGGGGUAACCCAGUAAGGUCACGGGAAGAACACCCGUUGAUAGGCUCUACGUGGAAGCGCAGUAAUGUGUGAAGCGGAGGAGUACUAAUAGACCGAGGGCUU
Molecule: ribosomal RNA, 1345 nt
Filed under: metagenome
Description: bacterial LSU rRNA
Rfam family: Bacterial large subunit ribosomal RNA
Source: RNAcentral